Molecule: microRNA precursor, 179 nt
Filed under: Oryza brachyantha (malo sina)
Lineage: Eukaryota; Viridiplantae; Streptophyta; Magnoliopsida; Poales; Poaceae
Description: MIR812 microRNA precursor family
Rfam family: MIR812 microRNA precursor family
Source: Rfam by way of RNAcentral
AAUAAGUUUAUUUUUUCAGAUUUUAGGUAUAAUGUUUAACUCUCCGUCUUAUUUGAUUUUUUUAAUUAAUAUUAUUAUUAGAUGAUAAAACAUAAUAGUACUUUACACAUGACUAUAUUUCUGAGCUUUUUUUAAAAAAAUUAAGUAAGACAAAUAGUCAAACAUUAGACACGGAAACC